AGCAGCCGCGGUAAUUCCAGCUCCAAUAGCGUAUAUUAAAGUUGUUGCAGUUAAAAAGCUCGUAGUUGAAUUUCGGGAUCAGUACGCCGGUCGUGCCUUCGGUAUGCACUGGUGUCACUGGUUUCUCCCUUCUGAAGAACCAUCAUGCCAUUAAGUUGGUGUGGCGGGAAAUCAGGACUGUUACUUUGAAAAAUUAGAGUGUUUAAAGCAGGCUCGCGCUUGAAUACAUUAGCAUGGAAUAAUGAAAUAGGACGUUUGACCCUAUUUUGUUGGUUUCUAGGAUCGACGUAAUGAUUAAUAGGGAUAGUUGGGGGCAUUAGUAUUCAAUUGUCAGAGGUGAAAUUCUUGGAUUUAUUGAAGACUAACUACUGCGAAAGCAUUUGCCAAGGAUGUUUUCAUUAAUCAAGAACGAAAGUUAGGGGAUCGAAGACGAUCAGAUACCGUCGUAGUCUUAACCAUAAACUAUGCCGACUAGGGAUCGGAUGAUGUUAAUUUUUAAUGACUCAUUCGGCGCCUUAAC
RNAcentral lists this unclassified non-coding RNA (520 nucleotides) under uncultured Glomus. RNAcentral describes it as "SSU rRNA". It matches the Rfam family "Eukaryotic small subunit ribosomal RNA", at positions 569 to 1092 of the family's 1831-position model. Lineage: Eukaryota; Fungi; Glomeromycota; Glomeromycetes; Glomerales; Glomeraceae. The record is from RNAcentral.